This 705-nucleotide ribosomal RNA is filed under the name uncultured euryarchaeote. RNAcentral describes it as "bacterial SSU rRNA". It matches the Rfam family "Archaeal small subunit ribosomal RNA", at positions 172 to 879 of the family's 1478-position model. The record is from RNAcentral. Lineage: Archaea; Methanobacteriati; Methanobacteriota.
GGAAUGCCUUACGGUUGAAAGCUUUAGCGUCUGAGGAUGGGUCUGCGGCCGAUUAGGUAGUUGCUGGGGUAACGUCCCAACAAGCCGAUAAUCGGUACGGGUUGUGAGAGCAAGAGCCCGGAGAUGGAUUCUGAGACACGAAUCCAGGUCCUACGGGGCGCAGCAGGCGCGAAAACUUUACACUGCGCGAAAGCGCGAUAAGGGGACCUCGAGUGCGUGCGCAAUGCGUACGCUUUUCAGAUGCCUAAAAAGCAUCUGGAAUAAGGGCCGGGCAAGACCGGUGCCAGCCGCCGCGGUAACACCGGCGGCUCAAGUGGUGGCCGCUAUUAUUGGGCUUAAAGGGUCCGUAGCCGGACCAGUUAGUCCCUUGGGAAAUCUUACGGCUUAACCGUAAGGCUGCCAAUGGAUACUGCUGGUCUUGGGACCGGGAGAGGCAAGAGGUACCUCAGGGGUAGGAGUGAAAUCCUGUAAUCCUUGAGGGACCGCCAGUGGCGAAGGCGUCUUGCUAGAACGGGUCCGACGGUGAGGGACGAAAGCUAGGGGCACGAACCGGAUUAGAUACCCGGGUAGUCCUAGCCGUAAACGAUGCGAGCUAGGUGUCACGUGGAUUGCGAAUCCAUGUGGUGCCGAAGGGAAACCGUGAAGCUCGCCGCCUGGGAAGUACGGCCGCAAGGCUGAAACUUAAAGGAAUUGGCGGGGGAGCAC